GUUUUAAUAGUUUAUAAAAACAUAGAUUUUGUAAUUCUAAAAUAAGAUAAAAUUUCUUUUAAAACU
RNAcentral lists this transfer RNA (66 nucleotides) under Rapisma xizangense. RNAcentral describes it as "tRNA-Thr". It matches the Rfam family "tRNA". From Rfam's summary of the family: Transfer RNA (tRNA) molecules are approximately 80 nucleotides in length. Their secondary structure includes four short double-helical elements and three loops (D, anti-codon, and T loops). The record is from RNAcentral. Lineage: Eukaryota; Metazoa; Arthropoda; Insecta; Neuroptera; Rapismatidae. RNAcentral also lists the same sequence under 2 other names.